CCUACGGGUGGCUGCAGUGGGGAAUAUUGCACAAUGGGGGAAACCCUGAUGCAGCGACGCCGCGUGAGUGAAGAAGUCUUUCGGUAUGUAAAGCUCUAUCAGCAGGGAAGAAGAAAGACGGUACCUGACUAAGAAGCCCCGGCUAACUACGUGCCAGCAGCCGCGGUAAUUAGGGGGAUGGAAGCGUUAUCCGGAUUUAUUGGGUUUAAAGGGUGCGUAGGCUGGGAGGUAAGUCAGCGGGUAAAUGCCCCCGCCCAACGGGGUGAAGUGCCAUUGAUACUGCCUGGCUGGAAUGCGGAUGCGGUGGGAGGAAUGUGUGGUGUAGCGGUGAAAUGCAUAGAUAUCACACAGAACACCGAUUGCGAAGGCAUCUCACGAAUCCGCGAUUGACGCUGAUGCACGAAAGCGUGGGUAUCAAACAGGAUUAGAUACCCUUGUAGUC
Molecule: ribosomal RNA, 442 nt
Filed under: uncultured bacterium
Lineage: Bacteria
Description: partial 16S ribosomal RNA
Rfam family: Bacterial small subunit ribosomal RNA
Source: RNAcentral